UACGUAGGUGGCGAGCGUUGUCCGGAUUUACUGGGCGUAAAGGGUGCGUAGGCGGACUUUUAAGUGAGAUGUGAAAUACUCGGGCUCAACUUGAGUGCUGCAUUUCAAACUGGAAGUCUAGAGUGCAGGAGAGGAGAAUGGAAUUCCUAGUGUAGCGGUGAAAUGCGUAGAGAUUAGGAAGAACACCAGUGGCGAAGGCGAUUCUCUGGACUGUAACUGACGCUGAGGCUCGAAAGCGUGGGGAGCAAACAGG
RNAcentral lists this ribosomal RNA (253 nucleotides) under uncultured bacterium. RNAcentral's name for it is "partial 16S ribosomal RNA". It matches the Rfam family "Bacterial small subunit ribosomal RNA", at positions 524 to 776 of the family's 1533-position model. The record is from RNAcentral.